Molecule: small RNA, 245 nt
Filed under: Arabidopsis thaliana (thale cress)
Lineage: Eukaryota; Viridiplantae; Streptophyta; Magnoliopsida; Brassicales; Brassicaceae
Description: ATSL165950
Source: RNAcentral
UUUUCCCAAACCCUAACGAUUCUGCUCCUUUUCCUUUUCUCUCUUUUUCUCCUUUAUAAAACGAAAAGUUGCUAACUAAAGCCCUAAUUUCGAGUUUCCUUCUUUUAUAGGCACACUUUAGGAUUUCCAAUUAACCCAACCAAUUAAACCGGAUGAUUUAAAAACAAACCCUAACCGAUUUUCCGGUUCACGGGUGUUACAAUUCUCUGUAUGUUUUAUGAACAACACCCUCGACGGUUUUGAUA